This 3751-nucleotide long non-coding RNA is filed under the name Daucus carota (carrot). RNAcentral describes it as "long non-coding RNA (DCAR_LNC000087)". Lineage: Eukaryota; Viridiplantae; Streptophyta; Magnoliopsida; Apiales; Apiaceae. The record is from RNAcentral.
UACAAUUAAAUAAAACCAGUAUGCUAGUGAACUACUCCUAAAUACCAUCUCUAUCAAUAAAUGCAACUCAGUUACAUGGGUGGCUGUUACUAAUCAGAAUGAUAUGUAAUAGAUAACAACUACCUGCUAAUGGUGGCUUGAUGAUCAUGCAUAAAUAUGAAUAAAUAUAUGAUGGUGGUUUAUUAUUUUCUUUGCAGUUAUGGUUUGCAGAAGAGGAUUUAUUUUUAUUACUGAACUCUGAACUAAAACAAAUCUGAAGUUCCGAAGUUGGACUUAGAUUUUUCUUCUGAAAAACCCAUAACAGUUACUAUUUUUAUAUAUCAAAUAUCGUCGAUUCUUUGACAUAACAUUUCUGUCAGAAAUAUUUUCUUCGGAAGAAACAAUUAAAUCCUCCACCUUAAUGUAGAACUGAUCCUAUUAUGCAGCAAGUCUGGAGACCAAAGCAAAUCAUUUUAUUGGUAAUCUAUUCAUAUAAGCCAACCAAACACAUUCGUUGGCUCAAUCUUGGCUGAUAUAUAUUGACCUAAUAAACAAAGUAAAUGCCAACACACACAAGCUUGUCAUAUUAUUGAACUUGUACUAAUACAUUCGUCACUUCAAUCUUGGCUACGGUACUCAAUUGUUGACCUAGUAAAGAAUGUAAAAUGCCAACAUACAGAAGUUUGUCAUGUCAUGAAUGUAUUCUUGUUGAGUGUUGUCGUCAACUAAAACAAAUAUAUCCUCAACGACGACUAUAAAUAUUACAGCCUAACAGAGAGAGUUCAAGUCAUUGAAAAUACUUCAACAAGCUAGCUUCAUAAGACAUAUAACCAGAAUCAAUAUAUCAAGAAGAUGGCACUAUCAAAUUGGUCUGCGUAUAACAUCUCUGCAUUAUGGUCUUAUGCCCGUGAUGGGAAAAGGCUAAGCUGUCUUUCCCAGCGCAAUAAUACGGUACUAAGUUGUUCCUCAAGCGCGCACACAAUAUUUUAUUGUUUUAUAGAUCAAUGAUUUUUUUUUUUUCUUUAGAGCAUCGUCGGGAUUGUAGGGGCAAGCAACCUCAGAAUUAACUUGGGUUCUGACAGCAGUUGCUGGAAACGCACUACCAGAUUUAUUAGGUAAGUCGGAAGCAUGCCUGUGUAGAGUUGGUGUCAAUCCAAGUUCCACGUCAUAAAGAUACUAUUUAUUUCAGAACUUGUCUAAUUAUUUGAUAUCAUACUGGUCAUUUUGGCAGAGGUUCCCAUGCCAGUUGUUAUGAAUUAACAAGCAUACGGUCGCUACAAGUGAGUGGAAGAUACGGGAUACAUUCUCUGACAGAAGGAAUGCGUUAUAAUGUGCUGAUUGUGGUAGAGUUGUUACAAACUUGCAUUACUGGGCCGCUGACAUGCACUCUUAUUGAUUCCACCGGACAUAGGCAUGACUCCAAGAAGUAUUACUGUUCGCAAAUGGUGAAGAACCAAAUCAUAAGCCUUCAUGUUGGCCAGUUCUGUGCCCGCAAGUCGUUAUUUGGCUAUGGAGAAAUCAACUUCUCCGUAGUCAACACUGAUAAAGAACGGAAGCAUGGUAUCGUCGUGAUUGGAGCUCUUGUUGUGCCUGUAAAGUAAAAUAGGCCGGGAAGAAAGUCUGGAUAGAAAUGGGCAUACCUACAUUGAAAAGUCCCCCAUAUACAUCAAUACACCAAAAUCCCAUAUGCAGAGGAAUUUCUACUGUUUUUUCCUUAUUUUGCAUUUGGUUAAUGAUAUGACGAAUGGAACUUAUAGCCACUACUGCAUGUUUCAAUUUAUAGACCAUAAAUUAUAAUACAAUUUUCACUUAACUAGUGCCACACAUCAUGAAUCUAUUUUAAUUAGACAAGUCUAAACAACAAAUUGACACAACAGUACAUUUGUAAGUGAACUCCUACAAAAAUUGAUCAAUAGCUUACCCAAACUGUUUAAAUAUUAGGAUUUACAUAAAUCUUCCUCAGAGUCCCUACCCAGAUGUAAAUAUAUUAUCUUCUAAUAUUCAACCCUCGGAAUCUGUCAAAUAAAUGGGGCUUUCCAGAUCAGCUGCAGUUGCUGAGGCAAAAGAGUCAAAACUAUCUACAGAUGACAAGGAAGAAGGGCAGUUGUAUGAGUCUGUAGAAGUUUGUUUAUUGCAGCCUUUGCAGCUUCAACAAACCAUUCAUCCUCUGGUGAUGCACUACAAAGAUAUUACAAUCUCAGAUUGAGGCAGAAGGAGAAUCUUCCCAGUUAAAGGUAACAGUUGUACACUGGGAAGCUUGGCCGGCUAGGACUUGUACACUUACAAGUCAUGUUGUGACAGGAAAUUUUAAAAAACCUUCAGGCAGAACCAAAUUUUUUGUUGUAUUUUGGCUAAUUUGAACAUACAGGAUUACAAAGAAUAUUAUCGCAAUUCUAUCUGCAAUAAAGAAGAUGCAUAUAUUCCAAAAAUUGACCCACACACAACUUUAUACCUAAUCUGUAUAACUGCCUUUAAGGCUUUUAAAAAAACAUACUCCACAAGAUGAGGGUUCCUUGUCAUUCUUUGCAGCAUGAAUGCAUACUUUUUAUUUCCUAUCAAUUUUUAGUAAAUAAAGAUUCCAGUUCAAUUCCAGAGGAACCUUAUGUACUUAUUCGAGGAAAAAAUGUAUUUGUUUAUCUAAUUUAUCCAACUAAACUUAGACAUAGUUCAUGAUAUAUAUGUUGUCGAUGUUUCAUGAUUUCUCAAUGUUAUUACUUCCUGAAAUGACCAGAUCAGAUAUAUCCUAAUUAUUCUUCUUUGCCAAGGACCAAAAUGAAUGGAACAAGAAUCCAGUUGGGUGAAUGAAAAGCUUGCAUGCAUUAUUGUAGAUGUUCUCAUUUCUGAGUACUAUAAAUGCUGGUUGAUUGUAGAGUUUUAAGUCAUCGCGAUUGAAAGAAAACAGUACUAAGUAAUACUUGUUCUUUCAAUCGCGAAAAUGGCUCAAGCAGUGAGGUGUCUUGAUGGUCAGUCACUUUGGUGUCUGGCUAAGGCAGGCCAGAACAAUUCGGUAAGUGUGAAAUUGUAAUUAGUACGUUCAUAUUUAUUGACAUUGGCAUAAGUAUCCGACGAUCUUUCUGUAUAGAGUGUCAUUGGGCAUCUGGAUGCAAGGGAACUGGAAAUUACCUGGGGUUGCGACACUCGCUACUGGAAAUGGAUUGGCAUGCAAAUCGGGUGAGUUCAUUUAAAAAGAUAGAUAGGAAUAUAUGAUCAUUACUAUAAUCCUGUCUAACAUUUUUGUUUCUAUUACACAGUGGACAUUGCAUUGAAGUUGCUGAACUGAUUAAUGUCUGCCGGCUGGAAAUUAAUGGGAGAUACGCGAUGAAUAAACUUACUGCAGAAAUGAAUUACCAAGUGAAGUUCGUGUUGAAGCUCUUGAACAAUUUCAACAUUGACAAACCACUGAUCUUUAGCCUGACUACUCCAGAGGGAUGCAGGAAAGAGCAUCAGAAGAACAUGAUGCAAAUGUCAAGAAACCAAAUCAUUACCAUCGAUGUCGGGGAAUUUCAGACCCCCCCGGAACAAUUGUAGAUCUGGAGAAGUCAGGUUCCAGAUGGAUAAAACUGAUCACUUUUGGAAGCGUGGCCUGGUUGUCAUUGGAGCCGUUGUUGUGCCCAAAUACAAUUAAAUAAAACUCAGUUUACAUGGGUGGCUGUGACUGUAAUAGAUAACAACCUACUAAUGGUGGCUUGGUGAUGAUGCAUAAAUAUGAAUAAAUAUACGAUGGUGGUUUAUUUUCUGAACUCCUAGAUUUUUUUUGUUUGAUUUUCUAUAA